This 324-nucleotide ribosomal RNA is filed under the name Lamprops sp. SMB-2011. RNAcentral's name for it is "partial 16S ribosomal RNA". The stretch from base 94 to 296 matches the Rfam family "Archaeal large subunit ribosomal RNA", at positions 2160 to 2706 of the family's 2987-position model. The record is from RNAcentral. Lineage: Eukaryota; Metazoa; Arthropoda; Malacostraca; Cumacea; Lampropidae.
CAGAGACUAGGUGUGAAUUAAUCAGAGUUUGGUUGGGGUGGACAGAAAUAAAAAUAACUACCUGUUUUAGUUAGUAACACUUAUAUGUGUGCAAGAAGACCUUAAGAAAAUCUUAAGAAUAAAUUACUUCGGGGAUAACAGCGUUAUCUUUUUUAGAGCCCUAAUUGAAAAAAAGGUUUGCGACCUCGAUGUUGAAUUAAGAAACCUUACUAGUGCAGCAGCUGGGAAAGGGGGUCUGUUCGACCUUUAAUAUCUUACAUGAUUUGAGUUCAGACCGGUGUGAGCCAGGUUGGUUUCUAUCUAGACUAAGUCUCUGCUACCGUA